UCUUCCCUAGGCUGUCUCGUGGCUUCUACGACGGGUGAAGUUUGGGGACUUCUGAGCUUUUCCUUCCCUGGGCGACCAGUGUCCUUUAACGAUGGGGACUCCUAUGCCCUACAAAAGGCUGAAAAUUAACAAAGGUUUUUUAAGAACGUACUGUUUGGAGUGUCCUUUGGUGCCGAUGGCCCCACCUUGUAUGGCUGACAUUCUGUCCUGCAGAAGCGUCUACUAGCCCCUGGCACUGCUUCUCUCCCUCCUAAUGAAACAAAAGCACGAUGCCCUUGCGUUCCAGGGCUCCUGGGAGGAGGGUGUCUCCCCACAGGACUGGGGUGGCUGAGAGUCGGCAGGCAUACAUGUCUAUGCGCCCCCACGUCUCUCUCAGGCUGUGGGACCUGCCUGCAGAGGGCCCCUUAGGGAGAAGGAGCCUCUGAAGUAAGCCCUCAGCAAUCCAGGUGGAGCUCAGCCCCAGGAACGAGGGAGCUCAAGUCCCAGUUCGCCCCCUUCCCCAGGAGGAUGCUGUGGUGGCGGCAGCAGCAGCAGGAGGGAGAAUGAGAAAAAGCGGCCAUGACGAGGGGGAAGGCUCAGGGCAUGGAGACCAAGGAAGUGGCUUCGAAAGGCACCUACUGACUUAAGCUGGAAACAAGUCCUUGAACCUAGUGACUACAGGCCAUCUACGUGGGGUACAUACGCCCCCUAGUGGGGACUAAGACUAGAGAGUGGCUGAGAAAAUCAAAACAAAAAAAGAUUUACAUGACCUAUGAGCCUGGGUAGAAAUGGUCACUCCCUGCUCCACGUGCGUGCACGCGCACACGCGCACAAAGACACACACGCACUGGCACAUUUAAUACCACAUGCAGAAGCCAGCUGACUUAAGCAUUAAAAGAAAUGAUUUAAUUUAUUCAACUGAUAACAAGCACGCACUGGCAGCCUACAGUGUGCAUUGUCAGAUGUGUGUUGGGUGUGAUACGGUGGUGACAGGGACUGUGCCUGCCCUGCCAGUUAGUGCCACGGAAAGUCCCCGCCUUGGAAUUGCAAUUCUGCCAGCUGAGCAGCUGCCUGGUCACAUGACCUUUCUUUCUGCGGACUCGACUUCCCCACUUAAUAAAUAUAUGUUGAACUCGGGUGAGCUGGCGCUGAGGACGUAAAGAACUAACGCCCAUCUUCGGCAAAAGAACCGCCUAAUGAAAUGAUGGGGCUGGACCGCUGGGGGCCCCGUAGUUCUCCCAAUCAAAAGAGACUAAAAGGGACUGUGCCUGGAGGUGCUAGGAAAGACUCCCCCACUCCAGAAACACUCUGCUGGGCCAGUGUGCCAGUUACUGUGGGUACAAAAUAUAUUACAACUUCCUGCCGCAAACAACCAGAAAACUGCGCAAAAUAAAAGAAACAGACACUUGACAACGGGCGGCACAUGGAAUAGUGACCCCACGGCUGCCUCCGCAUCUGCCUCGGACAGUGCCUGCCUGUGGCGUGGGGUGGGGGAACCACGUGGACCACAGUGGUGUCACCGGGUGAAGAGACGAGAUCAGAACUCAGACGGUGCGGAGUCCCUAAGGGUUACCGCACAGAUCGACAGGAGCCAAAAACAGAUGCAAUGAAGCCGAGUCGAUGGAGGAAGAAAAGCCCUCUCGGUAGAACACAAAAUGCACUAACCGUGAAAGAAAAACGGAUUAACUGGACUUCAUCAAAAUUCUUAGGACUGGGAGAAAAUAUUUGCCAAGCAAAGAUCUGAGAAAGGAUCUGUAGCCAGAAUAUAUCAAGGACUUUUACAAGUUGAUAUCAAGAAGAGGACUUAUAAAAAGGGUUUUUUAAUAGACACUUCACAGAAAAGUAUACCUAUGGCCAGUGAACACAUAGAAUGAUGCUGAACACGGUAAGUCAUCAGGGAAAUGCAAAUCAAGACACCCACGUCCUUCUCUGCACACCCACCGGAUUGGUUCAAAUUAACGACUGACCGUGAUCGGUGUCGCCGAGGGUGAGGGCAACCGCAACCCUGUGUGCGUUGCUGGGGUUGCGUACAGUGUCACAUCCACUUGGCAAACCGGUUUGGCAGUUUCUCAUGAAUUCAUCCAAGAAGGAUGAAAACGUAUGCCCACAAAACGAGCUGUACAAAAAUGUUCACAGCAUCUUUAUUAGUAAUAGCCCCAAAUUGAAAAUGACCUAAGUAUCCACCAAUAUGUGAAUGGAUGAACAAACAGUGGUACAUUCAUACAAUGGAAUACUAGUCGGCAAUAAAAAUGAUCUGCUGAUGUAAGCCACACACGGGGAACACCGAGAAGCCAGACACAGAGGGUACCUGCCGUAUGAAUCUGUUUGUAUGAAAUUUCAGGACAGGCCAAACUAGUCCACAGUGACAGAAAGCGGACAGGUGGCUGUCCGGGGCCAAGGCUGGAUAGAUAGGAGACUGACUCCGAAACGGUGUGAAGGUGCUUUCUGCAGUGAUGACGUUCUAAACCGUGACUGGGGUUGUGGACACAUAGGUGUAAACACAUGUUGAACUACUGAACUGUACAUUUUAAAUGAAUGGACUUUAUUGUAUGUAAAUUAUGCCUCAAUAAAGGUGAUCGAAAGAGUUAAAAAACAAAAAAAGAAUGAACACCUGAUCCUUGUCUUGCUGGCAGACACGUACAAAAGCCAGACAUGAAAACAAAUAAUCGUGAAACAGUGGCUAUUAAAAGAAGUAUGUUCACACGCUGAGAGUUCUGUGUACUACGUGCUCCCCUGGUGCCAGGUCCAUGCCAGGCGCUCUGCCUGAGCACCCUGACAGUCCCAAGAGGUUCGGAUGGGCAGCCUCGUGUCCCGGGUAAGACAGUGAGGCUUCGGGAGAGGGGCAGUCAUUUGCCCAAGGUGCCUCAGCUAGAAUCACCAGAGCCAGGCCCCCACUCCGGGUCGGCCUGGCUGCAGAGCACGUGCCAGACCGGCCUGCCACAGGGACACUGAGGAAAGGGGUCGGGGACUGUCCCAGCGUCUUAGGUAAGACCUCGCAGAGGAGGCAGUAUCUGAAUUAUGACCUGGGAUUUGCUAAGCAGAGAAGAGGACGAGGGGAAGGAAAUUUCAAGGCAAAGGGAACAGAUAACAUGAACGAAGGCCGUGUGACAGCUGCGAGGGGGCAGGGGUUUCUGGGAAAGCACACACAUGUCCAGAAAACAGCAGAAGAGGUCAAUAGAAUACUCCAUGUUCUUCAAGCUCAUCUAUUUUUUAAAAACCCAUGCAAAAUGUUCCACUGUCGACAGUGUUAGCUUUUCAGGAAACCCAGCACGGUGGUUAAGACCGCAGGUUUUGAGGCUGGAUUGUCUGAGUUCAGAUCUGGAUGCUUCCACUUACUAAUGACAUUUCCCUUUCUGCACUUGGCUUCCUCGGCGGCAAGAUGGGGGAAUAACAGGGCUGUUGUGACAGUCAAAUGAGACAGCACAUAAAGGUGCUCACAGUCAAGUGUAUCCAUCGAAUAUGUACAGCUUUUUGUAUGUCAAUCAUGGUUUUGUAUGUCAAUCAUGAUCUCAAUACAUGGUUUCAAAAAAAAAAAAAAAGGUGCUUAGAGAAUGCCUGGCCGGGAGCAAACACUUAAUACACAUUAGCUGCUAAAAUGUGAAAAUAUGUGCCUCUGAAUCGGAACGAAGGAUUUGAAAAGAGGGGGCUUCAGGGCUGGUCAUUUCAGUGGUUCAAAAGCAUCAUGAAGGACUCACUUUCUUUCUUUCUACUCUUGCUUUGAAACGAGCCUCACAGAUGCAAGAUGGCUGCUGCAGUCACAAGCGUCACAUCUUCACGAGGUCCCAAAGCAAGGAGAGGAUGUUGUUUUCAAAAAACGAGAAAACUUCCCUGAACUUGGCAGACCGGCAUUGCAGAUCUGUCCUAAAACAAUUACUGGCAAAGGGAUUGAUUUAUCCUGUGGGUCUGGUGCAGACUAAUCGAGACCCCCCCUUAGGGCUGGGGAGGGACCUGCCGCGCCUGAAGCACAGGGCUGCCCAGCUGCAGUCUGUUCUGUCUAUAAUACGGAGGAA
Pteropus alecto (black flying fox) is the source of this 3989-nucleotide long non-coding RNA. RefSeq lists it as uncharacterized. The transcript has 4 exons. The record is from RefSeq and is a predicted model, not a curated record. Lineage: Eukaryota; Metazoa; Chordata; Mammalia; Chiroptera; Pteropodidae.